Molecule: ribosomal RNA, 722 nt
Filed under: uncultured bacterium
Lineage: Bacteria
Description: bacterial SSU rRNA
Rfam family: Bacterial small subunit ribosomal RNA
Source: RNAcentral
GAACGGGCGAGUAACGCGUGGGUAACCAACCUUAAACAGGGGGACAACAUCGGGAAACCGGUGCUAAUACCGCAUAUAUGCAGACAUGGCAUCAUGAUUGCAGGAAAGGCUUCGGCCGGUUUAAGACGGACCCGCGUCCAAUUAGCUAGUUGGUAGUGUAAUGGACUACCAAGGCGACGAUUGGUAGCCGGGCUGAGAGGCUGAACGGCCGCAUUGGGACUGAGACACGGCCCAGACUCCUACGGGAGGCAGCAGAGGGGAAUAUUGCACAAUGGGGGAAACCCUGAUGCAGCGACGCCGCGUGAAGGAUGAAGGUUUUCGGAUCGUAAACUUCUUUGAUCCGGGACGAAAAUUUGACGGUACCCCGAAAGAACCCAGGCACCGGGCUAAACUACCGUGCCCAGCAGCCGCGGUAAUUACGCUAGGUGUGGCAGCGCGUUNGUCGGGUUUACUGGGGUGUAAAGGGGCCGUGGUAGGGCGGGGAAUACAAGUCAGGAUGGUGAAAAUAACUGGUGGGUCCACCCCCAGAGACGGCAUCCUGAAACUGGUAUUUCCUUGGAGUACCUGGGAGAAGGAAAGCGGGAAUUCCUAGUGGUAGCGGUGGAAAUGCCGUAGAUAUUUAGAGGAACAACCGGUGGGCGAAAGCCGGCUUUUCUGGACAGUAACUGACGCUGAGACGCGAAAGCGUGGGGAAGCAAACAGAUUAGAUACCCCUGGUAGUC